AUGCCUCUCGAGCGCUUCUACUUGGUCGCUCUGCUCCUUCUCCUCGUGGCUGCUGGCCGAGGUCUCACGGCCACCGUCGGCGCCGACGACGGUCGGCAGUUCGCCUACAAUGGCUUUGCGGGCAGGGGCCUCGACCUCGACGGCGCGGCCGAGGUCACGCCCAACGGCCUCCUCAUGCUGACCAACGGCACCAUCCAGCAGAAAGGCCACGCCUUCCACCCGUCCCCGGUGCCGCUCCGCGCCGCGCGCUCCUUCUCCACGGCCUUCGUCUUCGCCAUCUUCGGGCAGUACAUCGACCUCAGCAGCCCCGGCAUGGCCUUCUUCGUCACCACGUCCAAGGAGGUGCUCGCCACCGCGCUGCCGGGCCAGUUCCUCGGCCUCCUCAACGCCACCAACAACACCAACCCCAACGCCCACAUCUUCGCCGUGGAGCUCGACACCCUCCUCAACUCCGAGUGCCGCGACAUGAACAGCAACCACGUCGGCGUCGACCUCGACAGCAUGGUGUCGCGAGCUUCCGCCGACGCCGGUUACUACGACGACGCCACGGGCCGGUUUCAGAACCUGAGCCUGAUCAGCAGGCAGGCCAUGCAGGUGUGGGUGGACUACGAUGGCGCGGCCACGGAGAUCACGGUCACCAUGGCUCCCCUGGGCGUCGCCAGGCCCAAGACGCCCCUGCUGCGGACCGCCGUGAACCUCUCGGCCGUGGUGCAGCACCAGGACACGGCGUACGUCGGGUUCUCGUCGGCCACCGGAAUCCUCUUCGCACGCCACUUCGUCGUCGGCUGGAGCUUCGCGCUGGACGGGCCGGCGCCGACGCUGAACAUCUCCUACUUGCCCGCCCUGCCCCCCACCGGGCCCAAGCCACGGUCCAGGGUGCUGGAGAUCGUGCUGCCCAUAGCGUCGGCGACGGUGGUUCUGGCCGUCGGCAUCGCCGCUUACAUCUUGGUCCGACGGCGACUCAGGUACGCGGAGGUCCGGGAGGACUGGGAGGUCGCCUUCGGGCCACAGCCCUUCUCCUACAAGGACCUGUACCAGGCGACCAAGGGCUUCAGCGAGACCAACCUCCUCGGGGCGGGAGGUUUUGGAAGCGUCUACAAGGGCGUGCUCCGCAAGCCCGACAUGGACACGGAGGUGGCCGUGAAGCGGGUGUCGCACCAGUCGAGGCAAGGGAUGAAGGGGUUCAUCGCCGAGGUCGCGAGCAUGCGCCGGCUGCACCACCGCAACCUCGUGCAGCUGCUCGGCUAUUGCCGGCGAAAGGGCGAACUUCUCUUGGUCUACGAUCACAUGCCAAAUGGUAGCCUCGACAAAUACCUACACGAUCCCAGGCCUGGCAAGGCUACAUUGGAGUGGCCUCAGAGGUUGCACAUCAUCAGGGGAGUCGCUUCCGGGUUAUCUUACCUCCAUGAGGGUUGGGAGCAAAUCGUCAUCCAUCGAGACGUCAAGGCAAGCAACGUGCUCUUGGAUGGCGAGAUGAACGGGCAGCUAGGGGAUUUCGGCCUAGCAAGGCUCUACGACCAUGGGUCUGAUGCGCGGACCACGCACGUGGUCGGCACCAUGGGCUACCUAGCCCCUGAACUAGGCCACACCGGCAAGGCAACCCCAUCUACCGAUGUCUUUGCCUUCGGUGCGUUCCUCCUGGAGGUCACCUGCGGGCGGAGGCCGAUCGAGGAAGACGGCGGGAACAACCGCGUCAUGCUCGUCGACUGGGUUGCCGAACAUUGGCGUAACGGUUGCAUCACUAAGGCGGCAGACAUUAGGAUGCCAAACAACUUUAGUCUUGAGGAGGUCUCUCUAGUGCUGAAACUCGGGCUUCUAUGCUCCCAUCCUUUGUCCAAUGCAAGGCCAACCAUGCGACAAAUCAUGCAGUACCUCGACGGCGACAUGCCCCUCCCGGAAUUUUCGUCAGAGUACCUCGGCUCAGCCAUGUUGGAGCUGAUGUACAGUGCAGAGUUUUUUAACAAAAAUGUAAUGCCAUAUGUGUCAGCGGGUGUCAUCUCUGAUCUCUCCGGAGGAAGGUGA
This 2022-nucleotide ribosomal RNA is filed under the name Triticum aestivum (bread wheat). RNAcentral's name for it is "partial small subunit ribosomal RNA". Lineage: Eukaryota; Viridiplantae; Streptophyta; Magnoliopsida; Poales; Poaceae. The record is from RNAcentral.